GAUGAACGCUAGCGGCAGGCUUAACACAUGCAAGUCGAGGGGUAUUGGUUUUCGGACCAAGAGACCGGCGCACGGGUGCGUAACGCGUAUGCAAUCUACCUUUUGCAGAGGGAUAGCCCAGAGAAAUUUGGAUUAAUACCUCAUAGUAUAGUACUUUGGCAUCAAGGAACUAUUAAAGUCACAACGGCAAAAGAUGAGCAUGCGUCCCAUUAGCUAGUUGGUAAGGUAACGGCUUACCAAGGCUACGAUGGGUAGGGGUCCUGAGAGGGAGAUCCCCCACACUGGUACUGAGACACGGACCAGACUCCUACGGGAGGCAGCAGUGAGGAAUAUUGGACAAUGGGCGCAAGCCUGAUCCAGCCAUGCCGCGUGCAGGAUGACGGUCCUAUGGAUUGUAAACUGCUUUUAUACAGGAGAAACCCUCCCACGUGUGGGAGCUUGACGGUACUGUAGGAAUAAGGAUCGGCUAACUCCGUGCCAGCAGCCGCGGU
RNAcentral lists this ribosomal RNA (491 nucleotides) under uncultured bacterium. RNAcentral's name for it is "bacterial SSU rRNA". It matches the Rfam family "Bacterial small subunit ribosomal RNA", at positions 28 to 521 of the family's 1533-position model. The record is from RNAcentral.